RNAcentral lists this ribosomal RNA (427 nucleotides) under uncultured bacterium. RNAcentral describes it as "partial 16S ribosomal RNA". It matches the Rfam family "Bacterial small subunit ribosomal RNA", at positions 355 to 774 of the family's 1533-position model. The record is from RNAcentral.
UGGGGAAUAUUGGACAAUGGGCGAAAGCCUGAUCCAGCCAUGCCGCGUGUGUGAAGAAGGUCUUCGGAUUGUAAAGCACUUUAAGUUGGGAGGAAGGGCAUUAACCUAAUACGUUAGUGUUUUGACGUUACCGACAGAAUAAGCACCGGCUAACUCUGUGCCAGCAGCCGCGGUAAUACAGAGGGUGCAAGCGUUAAUCGGAAUUACUGGGCGUAAAGCGCGCGUAGGUGGGUUGUUAAGUUGGAUGUGAAAUCCCCGGGCUCAACCUGGGAACUGUAUUCAAAACUGACUGACUAGAGUAUGGUAGAGGGUGGUGGAAUUUCCUGUGUAGCGGUGAAAUGCGUAGAUAUAGGAAGGAACACCAGUGGCGAAGGCGACCACCUGGACUAAUACUGACACUGAGGUGCGAAAGCGUGGGGAGCAAACA